GGAGGGGCGUGGCCUAGGUCGGUGGGGCGGGGCCUCAGUCUUGACGGAGCUAGGGGUCCAUGAGCACCCGGAGCCGCAGAGGCAGGACAAAAGUUGUGAGUAUCCAAAGCUCGGGCAGCUGGCAGCAGUGGAGCCGCCGGGGCGACGACCACCAUGCGGAGACCGGCGCGACCUUUUGAGACGCAGCUGGACCCGCCCAGUUCGGCGCCCGGGUCAUUCCAGGGUCUGGGGCAGCGGCGGGGGCCGCGGGCGGAUGGCGUGAACCCAACCGCUGCAGGAUGCCCUCCAAACACAGGGCCCCGGGGCUGUGCGCUGCUGAGCCGAGCCAUAGAAGACCAAGAAGGCCACUGACAUCAUAGACAGAUUGCUCUUACUGUGAACUCUCUUCCUGUGACAUGUCACAUCCUCAGAGCAGAGGUCGCCCUCCUGGAAGAAACCAAUGUUUUGUGAGGCAUUCAAAUUCACAAUCCAGAGUUCUUUCUAUGAAGGAAGAAGAGAUGAGGGAGAGAGAGAGUGAAGAUGCCCAUGCAGCCUCAGGUCCUAAGAGCAUCAUCCAACAAGAUGAACAGGAUCCGCCCCUCCAACGCCUUCCUGGGACAGUCCAGCAGGACAGCAGGUGUGUGAGGUGCCUGCAUCAGUAACACCUUUCAUGUAACUGAACCAAGUUCACUUGCCUGACAUGCAGCAAGCCAAGGGCUGAGACACCCAUGUGUUGCAGCAGAGAGAAGGUUUAUUCACAAGGCAUUCACGCAAGGAGGCAGAUCACAAAUUCGCAUCCCAGAAGGUGAGAGGCUCGGGAUAUUUACGGGGAUAAAGAAGCAGGGUGGUCUGAGGCUCAGGGAAUGUGUGCAAAGGUGACUGGAGGUAAGAAAAAGGUCAAGUAGGGAGUUCCUGUUGUGGCUCAGCUCAUCAGGAACUCAACAUAGGGUCCACGAGGAUAUGGGUUUGAUCCCUGGGUUUGAUCCUUGUGGGUUAAGGAUCUGGCAUUGCCAUAAGCUCUGCUGUAGCCUGCAGAUGUAGCUCGGAUCUGGUGUGUUGCCAAGGCUGUGAUGUAGGCCUCAGCUGCAGCUCCGAUUUGACCCCUAGCCUGGGAACCUCCAUAUGCUGCAGGUGUGGCAUAAAGAGAAGGAAAAAAAAAGAAGACAAGAAAAAAAAUGGUAAAGCAAUAGUUUUUCCGUGAAGUCACAACUAAGCUACAGGCUUCUUCAUGGGAGGCAUGUUCAGAAGAUGAGGGCCUAAUCAUGCUCAGAGGAGGGGUUGUGGGUCUCUAAAGUCCAAAGAUCACUGAGGGACAGAGCUGCCUUUAAGUUCUUGAAAAAUAAUUGGGGCGAACUUCUUGUCAUUUAGGAUAAUGGAUGCUUGGAGGACAUGCAAGUUUUUGUGAAAACAAAGCGAGCUUGAUCAGUGAAGGCAGGUUACAACUCAUUAUUUAUUGAGCAAGUUAUUAAGAUUUAAUGGGAGUUCCCCUAGUGGCUCAGUGGUAAUGAACCCAACUAGUAUCCAUGAGGACUCGGGUUCAAUCCCUGGCUUGCUCAGUGGAUUAAGGAUCCAGCAUUGCCAUGAGCUGUGGUGUAGGUUAUAGGCAUGGCUUAGAUCUGGUGUUUCUGUGGCUGUGGCUACAGCUCUGAUUUGACCCCUAGC
RNAcentral lists this long non-coding RNA (1641 nucleotides) under Sus scrofa (pig). Its description in RNAcentral is "lncRNA (ENSSSCG00030001952.1)". The record is from RNAcentral. Lineage: Eukaryota; Metazoa; Chordata; Mammalia; Artiodactyla; Suidae.